GCAUCCAUAGCUCAGUCGGUAGAGCAGAUCCCUCUUAAGGAUAUGGUCGGGGGUUCGAAUCCCUCUGGAUGCACAA
Molecule: transfer RNA, 76 nt
Filed under: Candidatus Moraniibacteriota bacterium
Lineage: Bacteria; Candidatus Moraniibacteriota
Description: tRNA-Lys
Rfam family: tRNA
About the family: Transfer RNA (tRNA) molecules are approximately 80 nucleotides in length. Their secondary structure includes four short double-helical elements and three loops (D, anti-codon, and T loops). Further hydrogen bonds mediate the characteristic L-shaped molecular structure. tRNAs have two regions of fundamental functional importance: the anti-codon, which is responsible for specific mRNA codon recognition, and the 3' end, to which the tRNAs corresponding amino acid is attached (by aminoacyl-tRNA synthetases). tRNAs cope with the degeneracy of the genetic code in two manners: having more than one tRNA (with a specific anti-codon) for a particular amino acid; and 'wobble' base-pairing, i.e. permitting non-standard base-pairing at the 3rd anti-codon position.
Source: RNAcentral